UAGAGAAAGAAAAAGCACUUAAGAACCAGAAUCUCUUAAAAAAAAAAGAUCUUAGAAGUUUCUCUUCCAAAAAAGAAACAAACGGAUAGCACAGUUGCAAAUGUUUAGCCCCGAUAUUUAUCACUCACCUAUGCUUAACUACAUUCAACCAGUUACAACUCAAACCUCAGGACAGCACUCCUUCAGGGUACAAAACAUCUAAAAGAACUCGGUGACUCCAUUUCAAAGAUCCCAUCCCUUAGCAGUUGGCCUCUCCUUUCAUCACACCAACGCUGUGAAUAUCUCACAAAUCGCAAGAAAUUAGCCGCGGAGCGAGAUCAGAUAAGUCUUUAACAGGCACGCGUGUUACCGGAGAGAAGAAAGUGGAACGCGCGUGUGAAGUUUCCGAGCUCCGGGCGAGGCGGAAGUUCUCGCCCAGAGGCCGCCGGGAACCCCGCGCCGCGGCUGCCGCUUUGAUUUCCAGCAAUGGCUCCGGGGCCAGAGCCGGUGCAGCCGGGGCCGCCGCCAGCUCGCAGCAGCAGUCGGUACACUAAAAUCCCGGGAAAGUGAAAACGCUUCCUUCGCGACCUCUUUGCGCAGAGCUGGUUAGACCCCUGAACCUCUCCAGCCGUGGUUACGAACCCCAACGCCGGCCUCCGCCGGCGGACACCCCCGACUCCCAGGUCUGCGGGACAAAAGGCAGCGGUGCCGUCUCGUGCGCUUUCCCACGCGGUCCACUGAAAACCUAAUUGCCUGAAAGAAGUUGCACUUCGUCGCCAGAGGAACAGCCGAGAGUCAGAGAUCGAGAUUUCAGAGUCCGGUGCUGCCACGUUUUUACUGAUCCUUUAGCCCCAACGGAACGAAACAGAGGUGCCUUUUUGCUACCAGCUAAUUACCUUCACAUGAACAAGAAAUGUAGUACAAGCUCCACGUUUGUCCUCUCAAUAGUCGAUCCUCCCUAACCCAGUACCCAAAGGCUCUAGAAAAUGAGGGGGAUGGGUUCCCGAAAACAAAAAAAGCUUUCCGCCAGCACUGCCUCUGCAUCCAGUCCACCCAAGCUGGUAUUUGUAUAUUAGCUAUAGAAUGGGCCGGAGUGGGUGGUAAGUGAAGGCUAGGGUGACGGCGACGGACCUCACGUCCACGUCCCAAGAGCGCCCGGCAGGUCCAAGUUCGCGGUCCGUGCGCAGAGCGCGCGCUUUGCCGGGUGCCCGGACUAGAGGGCGCUGCGCCACUGCAGAUCACGCGGCACCCAAUGCGCCCUCCCUGGGCACCAUUUCUAUAAUAAGUUACAUUUGAAAUAAUGCACAAACAGCAUAGCUUUUCAAGUUCUUUUGAACAGUGCUUUGUAAGUAUUUUAUGAAUUCCAAAACCUAUGCAUACUUAUCUUUCAUUCCCGAAUCAAGCACAGCCAGGGCGGGUGUGCAGCUCGCCGAGCGGAAAGCCGGUAGGAUGCACACGCUUCCUUGUACUAGUCAAACACCCCACGCAAUUUCAUUAACGUUUAAACUUAAAUACGGAAAGACUUGCACUCAAGAAAGUACUCACCCGUCCAGCCGAGUCCUCGGUGUUCUGCUUUAAAGUCCCGGCAGGUCCGUA
Orcinus orca (killer whale) is the source of this 1575-nucleotide long non-coding RNA. RefSeq lists it as uncharacterized. Lineage: Eukaryota; Metazoa; Chordata; Mammalia; Artiodactyla; Delphinidae. The transcript has 3 exons. The record is from RefSeq and is a predicted model, not a curated record.